CGGUUUGUUGUUGGAGUUGACGAGACGAUCCACUGAGAGCAUUCAGCAGCUUCUUCUCGUCUGUCUGCGGACUGGCCGAAAGUUGGUGACCGCGGAGAGGAAUUGAAGGCGAGUUGAACGCGAGACGUCGUCCAGCCAUUAUUCACGAAGCAGCAAAAACCAAACAAAGGAACUGGAGAUACAGUUCUUCUGAAUAUAGUAACACACACGUGUCUGUUUGUAUGCUCGUCUUGCAAGUACUGCUGUCUGAGUCAUGCCUAUGACCUCACACUAUGACCUCACACGUGAGGUCAUAGGCGAGGAGUCUAAGGGUCCUCCAAUCACAUACGAGGUUAUUGUUAUACGGAAGGACCAGUAUUUUAGGAAGACAAAUGGUUGGGACUUUGAAACAGCUGAUAUGCUUUAUGUAAAGCAGUGUUUUGGUGUCAGCGGAACGACUUUCCCUAGAAAACUGUACAGUGGUGCCUCUUUCUCCAUUCCACCAGACAAUCUUGAGUCUGACAUACAUGUAAUGUUGACAAUGUAUCAUCAGAUGUACCCUUGUGUCACUGAGGUUGAAUGUUUUGCCAUGACAUGUAAACGAGUAACAUAUAUGAAUGUAACUUACUCAAUCGAUAGAUGCAGAGCAUAAAGGUCAGCAUAUGUUCAUGCUAAGUGGUGUGGAAACACUAACAGUUUUGAGGAACCCGUCCAGGUGAAACCGGUCGAGUCCAGAAGAGUGCGGUGAGUGAAAGGGGGGAAUACAGGCUCCAGCUGGUGGAGAGAGGGACUGACAGAUUUAAAGAAGAGACGGGUGGGGCCCAGCGGGUGGGGCAGGCGAGUGACGGAGUGAAUGAAGGGACAGGUGAAGCCCAGCAGGUGGGACAGGCAAGCCAGGGAGUGGACAAUGGGGCGGGUGGGGCCCAGCAGGCGGGGCAGGCGAGUGACGGAGUGAAUGAAGGGGUGAGUGGGGCCCAGCAGGUGGGGCAGGUGAGUGACGGAGUGAAUGAAGGGGUGAGUGGGGCCCAGCAGGUGGGGCAGGCGAGUGAUGGAGUGAAUGAAGGGACGAGUGGGGCCCAACAGGUGGGGCAGGCGAGUGACUUGAGUAAAUGAGAAAUCAGACGGGGUCCAGCUUGCGGAUCAAGGGGGUGGAGGGAUGGCAAGAGGAGCCGGGAACGGGUUUGGGGACUUACGUUAAAGGGACACUGUCUACAGAUAGCGACAUGGACAUGGAGGGAGAAGAUGUUAAAAGUCCCCCGCCUGAAGAGGAAGAUGGAGAACAGUGGGGGCUCUCAGGCCAAGAAGGGGUCAGGGAACAGAGGGACAGACGGAGGUGGAGCAGCAGGAGCGGAGUCUUCUGCGGACAGCGUCUCCUCUGGCGGGAUGGCCACCAAUUGGUACAGCGUGGAAAGGGUGAAACUUUUCCUGAAGACCACCAAGAACAUGAAGGCGAUAAAGCUGGAGGACUACUUUCCAGAUAUAGAGAUAUUCGGUCGUACUGCUCGGGAGGGUGCAAGCAAACAAGGUAGUUCCUGAUACACACAGCAGGAGGUCUUCCGGCUGCGAAAGAUCGUCCAGAGGAUCAAUAAUGGCAACGAGAGGGCUGCUGGGGACUGAGUAGAGUACCGGCAGAGGUGAGGAGCCAGUGACCAGAGGAACUACCGGUUCGUUGGCGGCGUGGGCGGCCUCGGUGUGCGUCCACGGCCUCUGGUGUGGACUGGCUGAAAGGAGAUUUUGUCUUCAGUCAUUUUUGUUUGUGUUUGUUUUUAUAAGAAAAUUAAGGUUUUUCAAAAAUCAAAUCUCUCUCUCUCUCUCACCUGCCUGGGGGGCACUAACACCACCAGGAGGCCUAAUAGCAGAAAUAAAAAGGUCUGUAGUGGACUUCUUCUGGUCCGGCCAUCACUGGGUUUGUGCAGCAGCUCUCUACCUACCCGUGGCGGAGCGAGGACAGGGUCUCAUUGAUAUACAGUCAAGAAUCACAUCUUUCAGACUCCGGACUGCACAGAAGCCGCUAUAUGCCUGUGGCCCUAGCUGGUUGGACACUGCUCGACUGCUGUUGAGGAGAGCCGGACGGUUGGGAUACGAUAAGCAGCUUUUUCUUCAACAGUCUGAGGGAGUGGACUUGGCCGGGCUGACGCCAUUCUCCGUUCUGCAGGCAUGGCACGUUUUCAGCAUCUCACGCGAAGCUGAUGAGACUCUGGGCGUGUGACUGUUGGAGGAGCCCUUGUUCUUCAACAGCUUCAGUCUGCAAGCAUGCGAACGGGACUGAGAGAAGCAGGCUGCACCAAAUUGGGACACUUGGUGAAGACGGCUUCAACAGCAACAGCCAUGGUCGCAUUCAGGCAGAACGCCAACAUCACGUCUGCUAGGUUGACCAACAAGUUAGUGGAGGAGGUCUGCGAUGCGCUGCCACAUCACCUGAGAGCAGCCGCAGAAAACUGUGCUCUGGCUGACCAAUGGGAUGAAGAGAGUGAGUAAGCCCCCCCACCUUGCUCAUUGCCCCAGCUGUGGGGGACUGGCAGGGAGGAGGAAGUAAACUGCUGACAUUCACAACCUCUCGCCUGGACACCUUUUAGGCGACAGGGAGGAACAGGAUCUAUGAAAUGUGCGUGAAGGUUGUGAACUUGCGCUCUCUCGAGGUGUUGAAGGAGUCGAGGUAGACCAAGUACUUUGGCCUAGGCUCUUCCCCGAAGGGCAGCUGGAGGUGCUUGUAUAAACCGCCCAUUGAGAAACGGACAGCAGACCUCCAGUGGAGGAUUGUGCACGGUGCUAUAGCCACAAACCGAUACCGGGCACAUCGGGGAGGAGUGUGAAUUUUGCCAUCAGACUGAGACCCUGGAACACUUGUUUGUUCAGUGUUCCCAGCUCUCAGUUCUCUUUGAACUUUUGAAGGGAUGGUUUCAGUGCCUUGGAGAGGGUUUUUCUUUUGCCUUAUUUAUUUUCGUUCCAAAAUAUUGUAAAAAUGAAAAAGCUUCCCACACAAUGGUGAACUUUGUCUGGUUCUGCCAUAUUAGCCAUCUGGCUGACACGGAAGAACAGGGCGAGGGGUGCUGGUAGUGAGGACCUGGUGAAGGUCCUGAAGGGCCUCCUGAAAGCCCAAAUCAAGGUGGAGCAUGCCUAUUAUCAGACUGUGGAAGACGUAAAGACUUUCAGGGACAGAUGAACUACUUGGAGCAUUUUAUGCUCAGUAGGUGUUGGUGCAAAGCUGGUGAUGAACCUUUGAAUGCAGAUGUUUGUGACGGUUUACUCUCUUUUGUUUUUGCUUGUUGGACUAGUAUGUUUAUUGUUUUUUUUAUGUUUUAGAGUGUGUUCUGGUUUCAUUGUAAAAGUGGAAUAAAGGAUUCUUUAAACCUUAAACUGUUUUUUUCAUAGAACUGGAUCCACUAGGCAGACUUAACUUCAGUUAGUUUAUUUUAAUACACAGGUUGAUACUGUGUGUGGCUGGAUGCUGGAGCUCCAGACGGG
Gasterosteus aculeatus aculeatus (three-spined stickleback) is the source of this 3444-nucleotide long non-coding RNA. Lineage: Eukaryota; Metazoa; Chordata; Actinopteri; Perciformes; Gasterosteidae. The record is from Ensembl.